Molossus molossus (Pallas's mastiff bat) is the source of this 467-nucleotide long non-coding RNA. RefSeq lists it as uncharacterized. The record is from RefSeq and is a predicted model, not a curated record. Lineage: Eukaryota; Metazoa; Chordata; Mammalia; Chiroptera; Molossidae. The transcript has 4 exons.
CUCAAACUGAUCUGACACAGGCUCUGCCGCCUUAGACAGGCAGAGACUCUUUUAUCUCCUGUACAGGAGCGAGCCUGCCCAGCCUGGCAGGUCCGGGUCCCAGGCUUCGUGAAUGUCCCGUCCAGUCUGUCUUGGAAGUGACCUGGUCCAUAGGGUCCCCCACAUCCGAUUACAACGGAAGAUGCCGACUAGCCUUUUAGUGAAGUCUGCGUGCAACAACAGGGUCCUCAAGAUGUGAUCAUCAAAACAAUGUCUGGAGUGCUAGCGGUCUGUUAGAAUAAGGGUGGGCAGGGGAAACCCUUCAGAGAGUCCAUGAACGAGGGCCUCAAGAUUUAUGUCAUAACUCGAGCAAGGCUGCAGUGUAAUGUAAUCAUUCAUGCAUUACUGGGUGGCCUGAUGGUGUUUCAAAGAAGUUGAGAACCAUGAGAGAAGUCUGUAUGUACUUCUUACAGUAAAUAAUGUCUUAC